RNAcentral lists this transfer RNA (87 nucleotides) under Actinomycetota bacterium. RNAcentral's name for it is "tRNA-Ser". Lineage: Bacteria; Bacillati; Actinomycetota. The record is from RNAcentral.
GCGUGAGCAAAUGGUACUGUCCGCCGUGCUGUCCUCGAGGCUAUGAAGCACCUGAUUUGCAGGCAGGUUCGAAUCCUGCCGGGCGCA